RNAcentral lists this ribosomal RNA (446 nucleotides) under uncultured bacterium. RNAcentral's name for it is "partial 16S ribosomal RNA". It matches the Rfam family "Bacterial small subunit ribosomal RNA", at positions 338 to 795 of the family's 1533-position model. The record is from RNAcentral.
CCUACGGGAGGCAGCAGUCGAGAAUCAUUCACAAUGGGGGAAACCCUGAUGGUGCGACGCCGCGUGGGGGAAUGAAGGUCUUCGGAUUGUAAACCCCUGUCAUGUGGGAGCAAAUUAAAAAGAUAGUACCACAAGAGGAAGAGACGGCUAACUCUGUGCCAGCAGCCGCGGUAAUACGGAGGUCCCAAGCGUUGUUCGGAAUAACGGGGCGUAAAGGGUGCGUAGGCGGUUUCGUAAGUCGUGUGUGAAAGGCGCGGGCUCAACCCGCGGACGGCACAUGAUACUGCGAGACUAGAGUAAUGGAGGGGGAACCGGAAUUCUCGGUGUAGCAGUGAAAUGCGUAGAGAUCGAGAGGAACACUCGUGGCGAAGGCGGGUUCCUGGACAUUGACUGACGCUGAGGCACGAAGGCCAGGGGAGCGAAAGGGAUUAGAUACCCGUGUAGUC